UGGUAAAACUCUAAAUGACAUAUUUGAUGGUGGAAAAAAUAUUAAAUUAUGCUUCCCAAAAAUUAUCUUUUCUAUAUUAUUUUGUUCUGUAAUGGAUUGUCGCUUAAAAUGAAGUUACCUAAUACUGUCUGCAAGUAUUUGUCUGAGGGUGAGGCUUGAACGCCUUUUCCCUUGUCUUCAGUCUUGGGAACUGUUGGUCUCAUUCUGUACAUGUAAAAUAUUCUUAUUAAUUGGCAAUAAUUUUUAACCUACUUAAAUGGUCUGCUAAAUUAU
This 273-nucleotide long non-coding RNA is filed under the name Nicotiana benthamiana. RNAcentral's name for it is "long non-coding RNA (NBEN_LNC017067)". Lineage: Eukaryota; Viridiplantae; Streptophyta; Magnoliopsida; Solanales; Solanaceae. The record is from RNAcentral.